GUGAAUCAUCGAAUCUUUGAACGCAAAUUGCGCUCUCUUCGGAGAGUAUGCCUGUUUGAGGGUCAGCCUAAAAAAAAUCGACAUAGUUGCUGUUACGUGGUAACAUUCGUGGGACAUUGGGUCAUCUUAAACCUUAGGGUUUAAGCGGAUUAAAAUUUUCUUUACUAUUCCAUGAACGUAUCUAUGCUUUUAUUUUCUUAUACGUUUAAGGUAUUGAUUUUUAUUAGCUGUCGCCGUUGCAUCGGAACUCGUCCA
RNAcentral lists this unclassified non-coding RNA (255 nucleotides) under Glomus sp. RNAcentral describes it as "partial contains 5.8S ribosomal RNA and internal transcribed spacer 2". The stretch from base 1 to 65 matches the Rfam family "5.8S ribosomal RNA", at positions 84 to 154 of the family's 154-position model. The record is from RNAcentral. Lineage: Eukaryota; Fungi; Glomeromycota; Glomeromycetes; Glomerales; Glomeraceae.